ACUAUUAGGGAUAUGAUAAAUUUUAAGUUUCAAAUAACAUACAACCCUCCAUUUUUCUCACCCAAGAACGCCAACCAAUCUUCAUUCAAGGGAAAAUGACCAAAAAUUUGAAGAUCUGUAGAAAUGGGAGAAGAUUGAUUGAUCCUUUUUUUUAUUUUUUAUUGCAGAAACAAGAAAUGAUGGAAAAUUUUCCCAUUUAGCCUUGAAGGAAGAAGGGUUUGAAUAUCCAGGAAAGCAAAGUGUUUAGCUUUUUAUUUGGGUAGCUCCGCAGCUCCUACCUUUUGGUUGAAGUGUGAGUAUAUUUCUAUUGAAGAAAAAAAAGUUUAUGAUGUCAUUUACUUUAGUAUCCAUAAAGUCUUUAAGUUUGAAUUCCAAAACUCGAAAGAUUGAAACUCUUUUAUUUUUUAAGUUUCGUUUUUUCCUUGUAAAAUAAAAAGAUUGAAUUUUGAUUCAGUAUACAAUUUGAUAUAUGAACUUUAAUUUGGUUGUGGUUCAAA
Long non-coding RNA from Gossypium raimondii (Peruvian cotton), 497 nucleotides. RefSeq lists it as uncharacterized. The transcript has 2 exons. The record is from RefSeq and is a predicted model, not a curated record. NCBI's taxonomy places the organism in Eukaryota, Viridiplantae, Streptophyta, Magnoliopsida, Malvales, Malvaceae.